This 212-nucleotide long non-coding RNA is filed under the name Brassica napus (rape). Its description in RNAcentral is "long non-coding RNA (BNAP_LNC021880)". The record is from RNAcentral. Lineage: Eukaryota; Viridiplantae; Streptophyta; Magnoliopsida; Brassicales; Brassicaceae.
UUAACCCUGAGAACGUACGUAGUCAAAUGGCAGUCAUUCAAGUAUUUCAGAAAAAUUGUUAUGUUUAUUUUGUCAAUGUUCAUAUAUAUAAAUUAUAAAAUAAUUUUGUUGACUAGAUUAGUAUUUUUUUGGGGAUAAGUGACUAGAUUAAUAUAGGUUAUAAAAAUACCUUUUUUUGUCACAGAAAUACUUAAUUAAAAGAGCCAAAAAGA